RNAcentral lists this ribosomal RNA (484 nucleotides) under uncultured bacterium. RNAcentral describes it as "partial 16S ribosomal RNA". It matches the Rfam family "Bacterial small subunit ribosomal RNA", at positions 29 to 523 of the family's 1533-position model. The record is from RNAcentral.
AGUGAACGCUGGCGGCGUGCUUAACACAUGCAAGUCGAACGAGAACGGAUUAUAGCUUGCUAUAAUUGUCAGCUAAGUGGCGCACGGGUGAGUAAUGUAUAGGUAAUAUGCCUCUUACUAUGGGAUAACAAAUGGAAACGUUUGCUAAUACCUUAUACUCCUUAUUAACAUAAGUUAAUAAGGGAAAGAUUUAUUUGUAAGCGAUUAGCCUGUAUUGUAUCAGUUAGUUGGUGGGAUAAUGGCUCACCAAGAAUAUGACACAUAACUGGUUUGAGAGGAUGAUCAGUCACACUGGAACUGAGACACGGUCCAGGCUCCUACGGGAGGCAGCAGUGGGGAAUAUUGCACAAUGGACGGAAGUCUGAUGCGGCAACGCCGCGUGGAGGAUGACACAUUUCGGUGCGUAAACUCCUUUUAUAUGAGAAGAUAAUGACGGUAUUAUAUGAAUAAGCACCGGCUAACUCCGUGCCAGCAGCCGCAGUAA